GCAAGUCGAACGGAGUAAUGACUUCGGUAUUACUAGUGGCGAACGGGUGAGUAACACGUGAAUAAUCUGCCCUGUACGAUGGGAUAACAGCUGGAAACGGCUGCUAAUACCGUAGUAUGACCACGCCGAAGGCAUCUCGGAGGGGUGAAAGCGCUUAAGCGGUACAGGAUGAGUUCGCGUCCAAUUAGCUAGUUGGUGAGGUAACGGCCCACCAAGGCGACGAUUGGUAGCCGACCUGAGAGGGUGAUCGGCCACACUGGAACUGAGACACGGUCCAGACUCCUACGGGAGGCAGCAGUGGGGAAUAUUGGGCAAUGGAGGAAACUCUUACCCAAGGCAAUGCCGCGUGAGUGAUUGAAGGUCUUCGGAUUGUAAAGCUCUUUGAUUGGGGACGAAUAAAUGACGGUACCCAAGGAACAAGCCCCGGCUAACUAUGUGCCAGCAGCAGC
RNAcentral lists this ribosomal RNA (449 nucleotides) under uncultured bacterium. RNAcentral describes it as "bacterial SSU rRNA". It matches the Rfam family "Bacterial small subunit ribosomal RNA", at positions 57 to 518 of the family's 1533-position model. The record is from RNAcentral.